GACGAACGCUGGCGGCGUGCUUAACACAUGCAAGUCGAACGGAAAGGCCUUUUCGGCGGUACUCGAGUGGCGAACGGGUGAGUAACACGUGGGUGAUCUGCCCUGCACUCUGGGAUAAGCCUGGGAAACUGGGUCUAAUACCGGAUAGGACCGCACUUUAGUGUGUGUGGUGGAAAGUUUUUUCGGUGUAGGAUGAGCCCGCGGCCUAUCAGCUUGUUGGUGGGGUAAUGGCCUACCAAGGCGGCGACGGGUAGCCGGACUGAGAGGUUGGUCGGCCACAUUGGGACUGAGAUACGGCCCAGACGCCUACGGGAGGCAGCAGUGGGGAAUAUUGCACAAUGGGCGCAAGCCUGAUGCAGCGACGCCGCGUGGGGGAUGACGGCCUUCGGGUUGUAAACUCCUUUCGCCAGGGACGAAGCGUUUUGUGACGGUACCUGGAGAAGAAGCACCGGCUAACUACGUG
Molecule: ribosomal RNA, 463 nt
Filed under: uncultured bacterium
Lineage: Bacteria
Description: partial 16S ribosomal RNA
Rfam family: Bacterial small subunit ribosomal RNA
Source: RNAcentral